Molecule: ribosomal RNA, 342 nt
Filed under: uncultured bacterium
Lineage: Bacteria
Description: bacterial SSU rRNA
Rfam family: Bacterial small subunit ribosomal RNA
Source: RNAcentral
GAUGAACGCUGGCGGCGUGGAUAAGGCAUGCAAGUCGAGUGGGUUUAGGCCCACGGCAAACGGGUUCGGAAUACAUAGGAAUUUUCCUCAGAGUCGUGAAUAAUUCGGAGAAAUCCGAGCUAAUACACGAUACGCUCUACGGAGUAAAGAUUUAUCGCUUUGAGAUGAGCCUGUGUCCUAUCAGCUUGUUGGUGAGGUAAAAGCCCACCAAGGCUAUGACGGGUAGGGGGUGUGAGAGCAUGACCCCCAACAUUGGAACUGAGACACUGUCCAAGCACCUACGGGUGGCUGCAGUCGAGAAUAUUCCACAAUGGACGAAAGUCUGAUGGAGCGACGCCGCGU